Microtus oregoni (creeping vole) is the source of this 106-nucleotide small nuclear RNA. Lineage: Eukaryota; Metazoa; Chordata; Mammalia; Rodentia; Cricetidae. The record is from RefSeq and is a predicted model, not a curated record.
GUGCUCACUUCAGCAUCACCUAUACUAAAAUCAGAAUGAUGUAAAAAGAUUAGUAUGGUCCCUGAACAAAGAUGACACAUAAAUUUGUGAAGUGUUCCGUAGUUUU